Homo sapiens (human) is the source of this 1676-nucleotide long non-coding RNA. Ensembl annotates it as cancer susceptibility 15. Its record names the gene CASC15. The record is from Ensembl. Lineage: Eukaryota; Metazoa; Chordata; Mammalia; Primates; Hominidae.
CAGAAUGUACUAUUCAAAAAAGGAUGCAAUGGAGAACAUUUACAGAGGACUGUGGGUAAAGCAAAGUCUUCAAGGGAAGAUAACAAAGGAUGAAACAAUGGUGUUGUGUGACUUCCUAGUGUGAAUCAUGGCAAUACAGUGAAAGACAGUGAUUUACUGCUUUUGAGGGCGUGCAUGUAUAUGAUUAACGGAUGGAAGUGCAGGACUCCAAGAUUUACUUCCUUCCCUUUCCAGCAGAAUUACCUGAGACGAGCAAAGGCACACAUUUUAAACGUUCAAGAAGAACAGCAGAAACAAGACAGGAUCAAAGCAAAAUACAAAGAAAACAAGAUUGGAGAAUCAGAGAAUCAAGAUCCAAGGAAAAAUGUUUACUUUGGCAGAAAUACCUAGAAAAUAUAGUGACUGCAGGCCUUGUUUCAAGUUCACAUAUUGAAUCUCAACAUGUUUACUUAUUUGCAAGUGGUUCAAAUGAACAAAUCGAAUUGUCUGUUAUCCUAAGAAAUGCUAAAUUGUCCAGAAUAGACCUGCAUUAACAAAGUGUAAAGUGAAACAAGAGACCAGUUGGCAGAGAGAGAAAAGAGAGAGAUUUCGACUAAAGCCUAGAAGAAUAGGUAAAAUCUACUGGUGGAGUCACUCCAUUAUUCUUAUCUGUGGAGAUCUAGAUCUUGAUUUGAAAGUUUCUGAGAAAAUCUUCAGCUCAGACUUGAGGGUCAACUUUACCAGCUGAAGUGACUACAUCCUGCCUGCUUUCAGCUCCAGUGGAAAAUGCAUUAAUCCCAGAGUCUCCGUGAGGUUUCCUGUUUGAUGACAUAAUCAGAAAAUCCUCCUCACAUUGCCCUUGGGGUUGCUGUCUGGAUGUUAUGUUGUCUUGGAUCUGCAUUUACUGCUCAACCACAUCUAAUUUGAUGUCCUCUGCAGAUUUAAAAUGUGUGCCUUCUUUUCCGUCACCAAGUCAUCCCUGGGUUACUACUGAACAUCCUUCUCAAUUCCCCCCGACCCAUGGAUGGCUGUUCUCCAUUGUCUGUUUCACCAGAUGUCCUCAAAACAAACAGACAGAAGAAGGAAGUGGCUAAUGGAGCUGUGGAGUCCAAGUGUGACUGCCAAGAGGAAUCCAGCAAAGCCAAAAAGCCCAAGCAUGUAGCCCUGCCCGAAGCACGCCACACGCAUGGAAAACCCAGAGGAAAUGAGUGAGGAUCAAUGGGAAGAAGAGAGCCAGCCAGGAAGUUGAAGAUUUGUCCAGGAGCAGAUAGCUGAAGAGAGAGAGAGAGAAGAGAGAACGGCUUACAGCUCAGGUCCUCUCUCCAUGCUUAGGAACCACUACAAAUGCUACUGCCUUGAGUCUCAUUUUGUUUCCCUCUGGAAACCACAUGUGUACCUUGUUUGCAACAGUAUGGUUCUGGAGACCAGAAGGCCAAAAUCAAAAGUAUGGGCAGGCUUGAUUUCUUUAGAAGACUCCAGCGGAGAACUGUGUCUCCUUGCUUCUGAUUCUACAUCUCCAUCCAUGGGCCACUGUUUCAGCAACCUCAGCCAGUGCAACACAACCUCAGCCAAGAAGAGUAUGCAGAGAAAGGAGUCCCCUACCUGCCACAAAACUGUUGUCUGAAAACUGUCUCAUAUUGUCUCAAGUUGUCAUUCAUUGUGAAUUAGACCUGUUUAACAUGUAAUCUGCAACAUGC